This 229-nucleotide ribosomal RNA is filed under the name uncultured bacterium. RNAcentral's name for it is "partial 16S ribosomal RNA". It matches the Rfam family "Bacterial small subunit ribosomal RNA", at positions 568 to 796 of the family's 1533-position model. The record is from RNAcentral.
CGCGUAGGCGGAAUAGUAAGUGUCUUGUGAAAUCCCUCGGCUUAACCGAGGAAUUGCUUGGCAAACUACUAUUCUUGAGACAAGUAGGGGUGCAUGGAACUCUUGGUGGAGCGGUGGAAUGCGUAGAUAUCAAGAGGAACGCCUGUGGAGAAAUCGGUGCACUGGGCUUGUUCUGACGCUGAGGUGCGAAAGCGUGGGUAGCGAACAGGAUUAGAUACCCUGGUAGUCC